GGAGGAUUCGCAUAGUGGCCUAGUGCGCACGCUUGGAAAGCGUGUUGGGGGAAACCCCUCCGGGGUUCAAAUCCCCGAUUCUCCG
This 85-nucleotide transfer RNA is filed under the name Sporichthya sp. RNAcentral's name for it is "tRNA-Ser". It matches the Rfam family "tRNA". From Rfam's summary of the family: Transfer RNA (tRNA) molecules are approximately 80 nucleotides in length. Lineage: Bacteria; Bacillati; Actinomycetota; Actinomycetes; Sporichthyales; Sporichthyaceae. The record is from RNAcentral.